Long non-coding RNA from Odontomachus brunneus, 437 nucleotides. RefSeq lists it as uncharacterized. The transcript is spliced from 3 exons. The record is from RefSeq and is a predicted model, not a curated record. NCBI's taxonomy places the organism in Eukaryota, Metazoa, Arthropoda, Insecta, Hymenoptera, Formicidae.
UCGGCUUAUAUCGGCCGAGCGUGUAGCUUCAACUUCAGCUUUACGUUUAGGCUUAGUUUUAGAGGCCUUAUUCCGAACGUCCCCGACACGUUGUGUCUGGCUGUGUGAUCCGUAAAUGUAUCAGAAAAAGAAAUAACUUUUGAGAAAUCGAAAGAUGACGAACUGAGACAAGUGAAAUCCAUUUAUUAUUGUCUCCAAGAAACGUGAAAGAACAUGAAUGUCUUUUUAUGUGACAAAUACGAAUGCCGCAUGUGCCACUCAUAAGAGACGCAACUUUCACAAAUCAACCGGUAAAGUUGCUAUCAAAUUUACGUAUCUGUUAUCUGUUUGGAUAGAAAUGAAACCCAUGUAUAAAUUUGAAUAUAAAUUUUCAUGAUUAUUAUGACGUUAGAUAAUCGAUGAUGGGAACUUUGCAAUUCUUUUAAAUACAUUAUGAA